This 85-nucleotide transfer RNA is filed under the name Candidatus Karelsulcia muelleri. RNAcentral describes it as "tRNA-Ser". It matches the Rfam family "tRNA". Rfam says of the family: Transfer RNA (tRNA) molecules are approximately 80 nucleotides in length. Their secondary structure includes four short double-helical elements and three loops (D, anti-codon, and T loops). Further hydrogen bonds mediate the characteristic L-shaped molecular structure. tRNAs have two regions of fundamental functional importance: the anti-codon, which is responsible for specific mRNA codon recognition, and the 3' end, to which the tRNAs corresponding amino acid is attached (by aminoacyl-tRNA synthetases). tRNAs cope with the degeneracy of the genetic code in two manners: having more than one tRNA (with a specific anti-codon) for a particular amino acid; and 'wobble' base-pairing, i.e. permitting non-standard base-pairing at the 3rd anti-codon position. The record is from RNAcentral. Lineage: Bacteria; Pseudomonadati; Bacteroidota; Flavobacteriia; Flavobacteriales.
GGAGAGAUGGCAGAGUGGCUGAAUGCGAUGGUCUUGAAAACCGUUGAGUAUCAAUACUCCGGGGGUUCAAAUCCCUCUCUCUCCG